UUGGAACGGCUGGCGGCAGGCUUACACAUGCAAGUCGAGCGGUAACAGGGGAAGCUUGCUUCCCGCUGACGAGCGGCGGACGGGUGAGUAAUGCUUAGGAAUCUGCCCAGUAGUGGGGGAUAGCCCGGGGAAACCCGGAUUAAUACCGCAUACGUCCUACGGGAGAAAGCAGGGGAUCUUCGGACCUUGCGCUAUUGGAUGAGCCUAAGUCGGAUUAGCUAGUUGGUGGGGUAAAGGCCUACCAAGGCGACGAUCCGUAGCUGGUCUGAGAGGAUGAUCAGCCACAUCGGGACUGAGACACGGCCCGAACUCCUACGGGAGGCAGCAGUGGGGAAUAUUGGACAAUGGGGGCAACCCUGAUCCAGCCAUGCCGCGUGUGUGAAGAAGGCUUUCGGGUUGUAAAGCACUUUCAGUAGGGAGGAAAACCUUAUGGCUAAUACCCAUGAGGCUUGACGUUACCUACAGAAGAAGCACCGGCUAACUCCGUGCCAGCAGCCGCGGUAAUACGGAGGGUGCAAGCGUUAAUCGGAAUUACUGGGCGUAAAGCGCGCGUAGGUGGUUUGGUAAGCGAGAUGUGAAAGCCCCGGGCUUAACCUGGGAACGGCAUUUCGAACUGUCAGACUAGAGUGUGGUAGAGGGUAGUGGAAUUUCCUGUGUAGCGGUGAAAUGCGUAGAUAUAGGAAGGAACACCAGUGGCGAAGGCGGCUACCUGGACCACACUGACACUGAGGUGCG
Molecule: ribosomal RNA, 735 nt
Filed under: Marinobacter nauticus
Lineage: Bacteria; Pseudomonadati; Pseudomonadota; Gammaproteobacteria; Pseudomonadales; Marinobacteraceae
Description: bacterial SSU rRNA
Rfam family: Bacterial small subunit ribosomal RNA
Source: RNAcentral